This 71-nucleotide transfer RNA is filed under the name Marmota monax (woodchuck). RNAcentral describes it as "tRNA.Ala". It matches the Rfam family "tRNA". From Rfam's summary of the family: Transfer RNA (tRNA) molecules are approximately 80 nucleotides in length. Their secondary structure includes four short double-helical elements and three loops (D, anti-codon, and T loops). Further hydrogen bonds mediate the characteristic L-shaped molecular structure. tRNAs have two regions of fundamental functional importance: the anti-codon, which is responsible for specific mRNA codon recognition, and the 3' end, to which the tRNAs corresponding amino acid is attached (by aminoacyl-tRNA synthetases). tRNAs cope with the degeneracy of the genetic code in two manners: having more than one tRNA (with a specific anti-codon) for a particular amino acid; and 'wobble' base-pairing, i.e. permitting non-standard base-pairing at the 3rd anti-codon position. Lineage: Eukaryota; Metazoa; Chordata; Mammalia; Rodentia; Sciuridae. The record is from RNAcentral.
GGGGUUGUAGCUCAGCGGUAGAGCGCUCGCCUAGCUCGUGUGAGGUCCUGGGUUCGAUCCUCAGCACCACA